This 478-nucleotide ribosomal RNA is filed under the name uncultured bacterium. RNAcentral describes it as "partial 16S ribosomal RNA". It matches the Rfam family "Bacterial small subunit ribosomal RNA", at positions 28 to 507 of the family's 1533-position model. The record is from RNAcentral.
GACGAACGCUGGCGGCGUGCUUAACACAUGCAAGUCGAACGGGGUUUAGUAAACGGAAGCCUCGGUGGAAGAUUACUAAUGAGAGUGGCGAACGGGUGAGUAACGCGUGAGCAACCUGCCUAUGACAGUGGGAUAGCCUCGGGAAACCGGGAUUAAUACCGCAUAAAAUCGUAGAAACACAUGUUUCAACGGUCAAAGAUUUAUCGGUCAUAGAUGGGCUCGCGUCUGAUUAGCUAGUUGGUGAGAUAACAGCCCACCAAGGCGACGAUCAGUAGCCGGUCUGAGAGGAUGAACGGCCACAUUGGAACUGAGACACGGUCCAAACUCCUACGGGAGGCAGCAGUGGGGAAUAUUGCACAAUGGGGGAAACCCUGAUGCAGCGACGCCGCGUGAACGAAGAAGGUAUUCGUAUCGUAAAGUUCUGUCCUAUGGGAAGAUAAUGACAGUACCAUAGAAGAAAGCUCCGGCUAAAUACGUG